AUUGUAUGAUCCUAAGUUAAGACAACUAGUUAUCUUUGAAGUUCGUUUUAAUGUCUUGUUAUUGUCAUUGGAGUAACGUUCAACCACAUCAAACCAAGCAUCAGGAGCACUUGAUAUAGGCCGUCCAAAACAGUCCUGAAUUCGAAGAUAGAGACGUCGAAUGUAGAAGUCUUCAAGCCCUAAACAGAUCGGCGCGUAACCCUGAAGAUUGCUGGCAUGCCACCAAUCGAAAAUUUUCCUGAAAAAAUC
RNAcentral lists this unclassified non-coding RNA (249 nucleotides) under Hevea brasiliensis (rubber tree). Lineage: Eukaryota; Viridiplantae; Streptophyta; Magnoliopsida; Malpighiales; Euphorbiaceae. The record is from RNAcentral.